GUCCUUUAGAGUAGAAUUUAAGGUCUAACCUGCCCAUUGAGUAAUUUAACGGCCGCAGUAUUUUGACUGUGCAAAGGUAGCAUAAUCAUUAGUUCUUUAAUUGAGAGCUUGUAUGAAUGGUUGGACGAGAUAUAAACUGUCUUUAAAAUAUAAGUAGAAUUUAAUUUUUAAGUUAAAAAGCUUAAAUAGAAUUAAAAGACGAGAAGACCCUAUAAAUCUUUAUAAAUUUAUUUUUAUAAUUUUUUAGGAUUAUUAAUUUUUAUAAUAUUAAAUUUAUUUUAUUGGGGUAAUAAAAAGAUUUGAUAAAUUCUUUUAUAAUUUUACAUUGAUUAAUGGUUUAAAUGAUCCUAUAAUAUAGAUUUUAGAUUAAGUUACUUUAGGGAUAACAGCGUAAUUUUUUUAGAGAGUUCUUAUCGAUAAGAAAGUUUGCGACCUCGAUGUUGGAUUAAAAUUAAUUUUAGGUGUAGAAGUUUAAAUUUUUAGUCUGUUCGACUAUUAAAAUUUU
This 505-nucleotide ribosomal RNA is filed under the name Bidessus goudotii. Its description in RNAcentral is "partial 16S ribosomal RNA". The stretch from base 382 to 505 matches the Rfam family "Bacterial large subunit ribosomal RNA", at positions 2473 to 2597 of the family's 2925-position model. Lineage: Eukaryota; Metazoa; Arthropoda; Insecta; Coleoptera; Dytiscidae. The record is from RNAcentral.